Molecule: ribosomal RNA, 457 nt
Filed under: uncultured bacterium
Lineage: Bacteria
Description: bacterial SSU rRNA
Rfam family: Bacterial small subunit ribosomal RNA
Source: RNAcentral
CGCUGGCGGCGUGUCUAACACAUGCAAGUCGAACGGAGAUAUGAUUUCGGUUAUAUCUUAGUGGCGAACGGGUGAGUAACGCGUGAGCAACCUGACCUUCAGAGGGGGAUAACACUUGGAAACAGGUGCUAAUACCGCAUAAGACCACGACCCGACAUCGGGAUGCGGUCAAAGGAGCAAUCCGCUGAGGAGGGGCUCGCGUCCCAUUAGAUAGAUGGCGGGUAACGGCCCACCAUGUCGACGAUGGGUAGCCGAGCUGAGAGGCUGAUCGGCCACACUGGAACUGAGACACGGUCCAGACUCCUACGGGAGGCAGCAGUGGGGAAUAUUGGGCAAUGGGCGCAAGCCUGACCCAGCAACGCCGCGUGAGGGAAGAAGGCCUUCGGGUUGUAAACCUCUGUCCUUGGUGACGAAACAAAUGACGGUAGCCAAGGAGGAAGCCCCGGCUAACUACGUG